ACACUGAAAGAAAUAAUGACUGGAAUUUUUCCAAUCCUGAUGCAAACUAUAAGCCCAGGGAUCUGAGAAGCUCAAUGCAACUCAAGCAUAAGAAGUUUGAAGAAAACUACAUCAAGGAUGGGGCGCCUGGGUGGCUCAGUGGGUU
Lontra canadensis (Northern American river otter) is the source of this 145-nucleotide long non-coding RNA. RefSeq lists it as uncharacterized. Lineage: Eukaryota; Metazoa; Chordata; Mammalia; Carnivora; Mustelidae. The record is from RefSeq and is a predicted model, not a curated record. The transcript has 3 exons.